ACGAACGCUGGCGGCGUGGCUAAGGCAUGCAAGUCGAACGGUCAUACUUCAAGGGUAACUGAGAGGUAUGAUAGUGGCGAACGGGUGAGGAAUACAUGGAUAACGUACCCUAGACUCAGGGAUAGCGGCGGGGAAACCCUUUGCGAAAGUGCCGGUAAUACCUGAUGACCCCGCGGGAUCGCAUGAUCUUGCGGGCAAAGUUACGGCGGUCUUGGAGCGGUUCAUGUCCUAUCAGCUAGUUGGCGGGGUAACGGCCCACCAAGGCUGCGACGGGUAUCGGGCGUGAGAGCGUGACCCGACACAUCGGAACUGAGAUACGGUCCGGACACCUACGGGUGGCUGCAGCAACGAAUAUUCCGCAAUGGGCGAAAGCCUGACGGAGCGACGCCGCGUGCAGGAGGAAGUCCCUCGGGAUGUAAACUGCUGUCAGGGGUGAGAAAAAAUGAUCAGCCCCAGAGGAAGCAUCGGCUAACUCCGU
This 478-nucleotide ribosomal RNA is filed under the name uncultured bacterium. Its description in RNAcentral is "bacterial SSU rRNA". It matches the Rfam family "Bacterial small subunit ribosomal RNA", at positions 29 to 506 of the family's 1533-position model. The record is from RNAcentral.